GAGGCAUAUGCAAUGACUCGGAGCUUAUCGCAUUGCUUUUGACUAAGAGUGGCCCCACUGUUCGUCUCUGAAGAGGCCAACUGAAUCACAAAAGGAAGGACAGGGUCUGGAUACGCCAGAGCCAAAGCACAAGCUAAAUCAUGUUUUAAGAGAACAUUUCAAUGAACUCUCGGGAGAAGUUAAAGGUUCCCAGAAGAGCUCGCGAGGAGUCUGUCUGUGGGAGCAGGCAGCUUUCCUCCUGUUUCUACCCCUUGCUGAUCUGAAGUCCUGCCAUCCUCUCCAAGACACCCAGUCCAGCCCUGCUCCAUUUUCUCUACCGUUCUUCCUACCAUCUCCUCCAAAAGCAUUCACGUGGACCGAUGAUACGGCAACAGUUCAACGACACUGGCAGCAGGAGCAACAAGUGAAAAGUGAGCGCUACGGGUGGCAGGCCACGGAGCCAGGAGGGAUGACUGCGUGGAAGACGUCAACAGAUGCCUCUGACAGUGGUGUGACCACGAGGGGUCUGCUUUCUUUGACCCCAACAAGUACUUUGGAGAGAGAGGAUUCCUAGGAGAGGCCCACGAACCAAGCGGAAGAGCUGGAUGUGGACUUCUCUCGAGAACUGACAGAGAGGCCGGGCGUGCCAGGGACUCGGUUGUCACGGGAGACUUCAAGUACCUGGACGCAGCUCGGGAGGAACACUCGGCUAGUGCUGUUGUUAUUUAUCGCCAUGAAACUUUGGAAUGCAAGAUGCCGUCUCCAGAAACUUGCCUGGCAUCUGGGAUAAAUACCACGCCGCACUCUCUAAACAGACUGUCCACGAGGAAUCCAUCAUCUGGAAAGACCAACAAGGCAGGAUGAGCCUGUCCUGAACAAUGCAGCCUCAGGUAGAGAUGCCCACGGUAGCUCUAAAGGAACGGGGGAUGAAGAAGUCAGAUCAGAGUACUCCGCUGAUGCCUCUAGGCCACUUCUGUUACCAUGGCUC
This is a long non-coding RNA of Alligator mississippiensis (American alligator), 967 nucleotides long. RefSeq lists it as uncharacterized. The record is from RefSeq and is a predicted model, not a curated record. NCBI's taxonomy places the organism in Eukaryota, Metazoa, Chordata, Crocodylia, Alligatoridae. The transcript is spliced from 6 exons.